Hordeum vulgare subsp. vulgare (domesticated barley) is the source of this 3716-nucleotide RNA transcript. It is a transcript of the gene named disease resistance protein RPM1-like, with no coding region annotated. The transcript has 5 exons. The record is from RefSeq and is a predicted model, not a curated record. Lineage: Eukaryota; Viridiplantae; Streptophyta; Magnoliopsida; Poales; Poaceae.
UAUCGCCCACUGAUUUUCACACUCGCUGCAUUUCCUCCCGUCUUCCUUAUCCCUUCGCCAGCUACCUCCACUGCUACGGAGUGAGCAUGAGCUGAAUCGCCGCAAUAUCCAUCCAUGGCUCCGCCCUGAAGACGAGUCAGUUUCGCAAGCCGGUUUAGUCAGCUCUCGUCAACGCUGCUGCCUUCUCGACUCCACUGCAGAUCUCACACGCUUUGCGCUCGCGCGGGCUCCCGUCAGACUUGAUCACACUGGUCGUUCGUUCGGGACGUACCCUGCUGUCCUGCUCUAUAGGCCACGAUCUGUUAGUCUCCAAAAGAUCAAAUGGCCGAGGCGGUACUCAUUGUUGUCACAAAGAUUGGUGACAUUUUACUAGAAGAAGCCACCAAAAGUGUCAUAGCUAAGAUUUCUGAAAAGGUUACUAAUCUGAAGGAAUUGCCAGUAAAAGUUGAGGAAAUAAAGAAGCAACUGACCAUGAUGGGCAAUGUUAUAAGGCAGAUAGGCACGGUAUACCUUGCAGACGACGUUGUCAAGACUUGGAUUGGGGUUGUUCGCAAGGUGGCCUAUCAUGUUGAAGAUGUAAUAGAUAAAUACUCAUAUCACCUUCUUCAACUUCAAGAAGAAGGGUUCCUGAAGAAAUUCUUCAUCAAAGGAACACAUUAUGUCAAAGUUUUCAGUGAAAUUACGGAUGAGAUAGUUGAGGUAGAGAACGAGAUUCAACUAGUUAUAAAGAUGAAAGAUCAGUGGUUGCAUCCCUUCCAGCUUGCCGCUAACCCACUUACUGAGAUGGAAAGGCAGCGGUCCCAGGACAGCUUCCCAGAAUUUGUCAAAGAUGGAGAUCUAGUAGGGAUUGAAAAGAACAGGAUAUGGCUAACUAGAUGGCUGUACUCCGAAGAGCCAGAGACGGAGACAGAGAACACCGUGAUAACAGUAUCUGGCAUGGGUGGUUUGGGAAAAUCUACCCUUGUUUCAAAUGUUUAUGAACGUGAAAAGAUCAACUUCCCUGCACAUGCAUGGAUUGUUGUGUCACAAGUCUACACUGUUGAUGCCCUGUUGAGGAAGCUACUAUGGAAGAUUGGAUACACCGAACAACCAUUAUCAGCAGGUAUUGACAAAAUGGAUGUGCAUGACUUGAAGAAGGAAAUACAACAGAGACUUAAAAACAGAAAAUAUUUGAUUGUGCUGGAUGAUGUCUGGGAGCAAGAUGUAUACUUCCAGAUACAUGAUGCUCUCCAGGAUCUCCCAGGCAGUCGGAUCAUCAUUACGACACGGAAGGAUCAUGUUGCCGGAAUUUCUUCUCCCACCCGUCACCUUGAGCUCGAGCCAUUGAGCAAGUCUGAUGCAUUUGACCUCUUCUGCAGAAGGGCUUUUUACAACCAGAAGGGGCACAUAUGCCCCAAGGAUUUUGAGACGAUAGCUACUUCUAUAGUUGACAGGUGCCAUGGCCUACCUCUAGCAAUUGUUACCAUUGGUGGCAUGUUGUCUUCAAGACAACGUUUAGACAUUUGGACUCAAAAAUACAAUCAACUUCGAAGCGAGUUGUCAAACAAUGACCAUGUCCGAGCAAUUUUCAAUCUGAGCUACCAUGACCUUCCAGACGACCUCAAAAACUGUUUUUUGUACUGCAGUCUAUUCCCUGAAGACUACCAGAUGUCACGUGAAAGCCUUGUGCGACUGUGGGUUGCUGAAGGCUUUGUGGUAAGAAAAGAAAAGAACACACCAGAGAUGGUAGCUGAGGGAAAUCUCAUGGAAUUGAUCCACCGCAAUAUGCUUGAGGUUGUGGAGAAUGAUGAGCUUGGUAGGGUCAACACCUGUAAGAUGCAUGAUAUUGUGCGUGAAUUAGCUAUUAUUGUUGCCAAAGAAGAGAGAUUUGCUUCAGCAGAUGAUUAUGCCUCAAUGAUAUUGGUACAGCAGGAUAAGGAUGUUCGUCGUCUGUCAUCAUAUGGAUGGAAAAAUGACAAUGUAGUGAAAGUUAAACUUCCGCAUCUUCGAACAGUACUCUUACUUGAAGCGAUUUCACCCUGCUCUGGCAUAUUGCCGUCUAUUUUGUCUGAAUCCAACUACCUUGCUGUUCUUGAGCUGCAAGACUCUGAAGUCACUGAAGUGCCAACAUCAAUAGGGUCUAUGUUCAAUCUACGUUACAUCGGGUUACGGCGCACUAAGGUCAGGUCACUUCCGGACUCUAUCGAAAAUUUGUCUAACCUUCACACUCUGGACAUCAAGCAAACCAAAAUAGAGAAGCUACCACGAGGGGUUGUGAAGAUCAAGAAGUUGCGGCACCUUUUAGCUGAUAGAUAUGCUGAUGAGAAGCAGACAGAGUUCCGGUACUUCAUUGGAGUACAAGCACCUAAAGAGCUGUCCAACUUGGAAGAACUGCAAACUCUCGAGACUGUGGAGUCCAGCUCUGAUUUGGCAGAGCAGCUGAAAAAACUGAUGCAACUACAAAGUGUGUGGAUUGAUAACAUUAGUGCUGAUGACUGUGCAAAUCUGUUUGCUACCCUGUCAACUAUGCCACUUCUUUCAAGCUUGCUUCUUUCUGCAAGGGAUGCGAAUGAGGCGCUUUGCUUCGAGUCUCUCAAACCAAGUUCUAGCUAUCUGCACAGGUUGAUUACCAGAGGACAAUGGGCCAAGGGAACACUAAAUAGCCCGAUCUUUCUCAGCCAUGGGAAAAACCUCAAGUAUCUAGCUAUAAGCUGGUGUCACCUUGGGGAAGAUCCAUUGGGGAUGAUGGCACCUCACAUGCCGAACCUCACAUAUCUGAGACUAAACAACAUGCACAGUGUAAAAACUUUGGUUCUGUCUAAAGACUCCUUUCCCAACCUGAAGACGCUUGUCUUAAGGCACAUGCAUGAUGUUAGUGAGCUAAAAAUCAUUGAUGGCGCUCUUCCCUGCAUUGAUGGUUUGUACAUUGUAUCGCUGUUGAAGCUCGAUAAAGUCCCUCAAGGCAUUGAAUUCCUUCGCUCCCUUAAGAAGCUCUGGCUGCUGAACUUGCACAAGGAUUUCAGAACUCAAUGGGACACUAAAGGAAUGCAUCAGAAGAUACUACAUGUUCCAGAGGUUCGUGUCUAGACGCGGCAAGUCGGUUCUUUCUGCAGUGUAUUCUUGUAUGCUGCUUCCAGUGCAACUGUAUCAUACUUUCAACCAUUCCAAUAAGUUUGCCUCGACAUCGCCAACAGCAUUUGGUCGGUACUUCUAUGCUGUAACAAAUUUAUCCCUCAAAGAUUGGUUGGUGUCCAUUGCCUUCCAGAGGCCUCUGUACCGUCUUUUUUUGCGGGGUAGCACUUUUGUGCAUUUCACAGGUAUUUAGGUCUGCCAAUUCCAACGGGGCUAAGAGCAACUCUAGCAGACGGAAAAAUGUCUUUGCGGGCCGGCGCGCACGGCCGCGGAUGCAGACCCUGCAUAAUGGACCCGCCACCGCAACGGCGAGGGGGAAACCCGUGAAUACGCGGGUUGGGGCCGAGAUUUUGCUACGCCCCGCAAAAAUAUUUGCGGGCCGCGGCGGGAUGCGGAGUCUGAUCGGGCAGGUUUUUCCGUCCUGAUCCGCAUUUUGGCAGUUAUUUUUCGGGUCGGGGCAGGAUGCGGGGUCUGCUAGAGUUGCUCUAAACUAGUACUCGGUAUCAUCUUGGUUCGUCUGGUAUGCUGUGUGAUACACAAGGAAAAAGAACGCAAAUUACAUACCUUUUAUGAAUAUAUGCUUUACGUUCAGAAAUGGAGCUGAA